UCAGAGUCGAGUACGGUAUUGCCAAUGUGAAACUGCAGUACAAGGACAGCGACGGCGACCCAAUCGAUCUUGAAAGCGACUCGGACCUGAGGUCGGCAAUCGAGCAGGCUAAAGCC
This 116-nucleotide non-coding RNA is filed under the name Bigelowiella natans. The record is from RNAcentral. Lineage: Eukaryota; Cercozoa; Chlorarachniophyceae.